This 46-nucleotide ribosomal RNA is filed under the name Fusarium tricinctum. RNAcentral's name for it is "partial 28S ribosomal RNA". RNAcentral also lists the same sequence under 5 other names. The record is from RNAcentral. Lineage: Eukaryota; Fungi; Ascomycota; Sordariomycetes; Hypocreales; Nectriaceae.
UGACCUCGGAUCAGGUAGGAAUACCCGCUGAACUUAAGCAUAUCAU